GAUGAACGCUAGCUACAGGCUUAACACAUGCAAGUCGAGGGGCAGCAGGAUCUAGCAAUAGAUUGCUGGCGACCGGCGCACGGGUGAGUAACACGUAUCCAACCUGCCGAUAACUCGGGGAUAGCCUUUCGAAAGAAAGAUUAAUACCCGAUGGUAUAAUCAGACCGCAUGGUUUGAUUAUUAAAGAAUUUCGGUUAUCGAUGGGGAUGCGUUCCAUUAGGCAGUUGGUGAGGUAACGGCUCACCAAACCUUCGAUGGAUAGGGGUUCUGAGAGGAAGGUCCCCCACAUUGGAACUGAGACACGGUCCAAACUCCUACGGGAGGCAGCAGUGAGGAAUAUUGGUCAAUGGACGCGAGUCUGAACCAGCCAAGUAGCGUGAAGGAUGACUGCCCUAUGGGUUGUAAACUUCUUUUAUAUGGGAAUAAAGUUUUCCACGUGUGGAAUUUUGUAUGUACCAUAUGAAUAAGGAUCGGCUAACUCCGUGCCAGCAGCCGCGGUAAUACGGAGGAUCCGAGCGUUAUCCGGAUUUAUUGGGUUUAAAGGGAGCGUAGGUGGACAGUUAAGUCAGUUGUGAAAGUUUGCGGCUCAACCGUAAAAUUGCAGUUGAUACUGGCUGUCUUGAGUACAGUAGAGGUGGGCGGAAUUCGUGGUGUAGCGGUGAAAUGCUUAGAUAUGACGAAGAACUCCGAUUGCGAAGGCAGCUCACUGGACUGCAACUGACACUGAUGCUCGAAAGUGUGGGUAUCAAACAGGAUUAGAUACCCUGGUAGUCCACACAGUAAACGAUGAAUACUCGCUGUUUGCGAUAUACAGUAAGCGGCCAAGCGAAAGCAUUAAGUAUUCCACCUGGGGAGUACGCCGGCAACGGUGAAACUCAAAGGAAUUGACGGGGGCCCGCACAAGCGGAGGAACAUGUGGUUUAAUUCGAUGAUACGCGAGGAACCUUACCCGGGCUUAAAUUGCAUUUGAAUAAUCUGGAAACAGGUUAGCCGCAAGGCAAAUGUGAAGGUGCUGCAUGGUUGUCGUCAGCUCGUGCCGUGAGGUGUCGGCUUAAGUGCCAUAACGAGCGCAACCCUUAUCUUUAGUUACUAACAGGUCAUGCUGAGGACUCUAGAGAGACUGCCGUCGUAAGAUGUGAGGAAGGUGGGGAUGACGUCAAAUCAGCACGGCCCUUACGUCCGGGGCUACACACGUGUUACAAUGGGGGGUACAGAAGGCAGCUACCUGGUGACAGGAUGCUAAUCCCAAAAGCCUCUCUCAGUUCGGAUCGAAGUCUGCAACCCGACUUCGUGAAGCUGGAUUCGCUAGUAAUCGCGCAUCAGCCAUGGCGCGGUGAAUACGUUCCCGGGCCU
This 1353-nucleotide ribosomal RNA is filed under the name uncultured bacterium. Its description in RNAcentral is "bacterial SSU rRNA". It matches the Rfam family "Bacterial small subunit ribosomal RNA", at positions 28 to 1381 of the family's 1533-position model. The record is from RNAcentral.